UGCAAGUCGAGCGGACGGAUGGGAGCUUGCUCCCUGAAGUCAGCGGCGGACGGGUGAGUAACACGUGGGCAACCUGCCUGUAAGACUGGGAUAACUCCGGGAAACCGGGGCUAAUACCGGAUAACUCUUUUCCUCACAUGAGGAAAAGCUGAAAGAUGGUUUCGGCUAUCACUUACAGAUGGGCCCGCGGCGCAUUAGCUAGUUGGUGAGGUAACGGCUCACCAAGGCCACGAUGCGUAGCCGACCUGAGAGGGUGAUCGGCCACACUGGGACUGAGACACGGCCCAGACUCCUACGGGAGGCAGCAGUAGGGAAUCUUCCGCAAUGGACGAAAGUCUGACGGAGCAACGCCGCGUGAGUGAUGAAGGUUUUCGGAUCGUAAAACUCUGUUGUCAGGGAAGAACAAGUACCGGAGUAACUGCCGGUACCUUGACGGUACCUGACCAGAAAGCCACGGCUAACUACGUGCCAGCAGCCGCGGUAAUACGUAGGUGGCAAGCGUUGUCCGGAAUUAUUGGGCGUAAAGCGCGCGCAGGCGGUUCCUUAAGUCUGAUGUGAAAGCCCCCGGCUCAACCGGGGAGGGUCAUUGGAAACUGGGGAACUUGAGUGCAGAAGAGAAGAGUGGAAUUCCACGUGUAGCGGUGAAAUGCGUAGAGAUGUGGAGGAACACCAGUGGCGAAGGCGACUCUUUGGUCUGUAACUGACGCUGAGGCGC
Molecule: ribosomal RNA, 715 nt
Filed under: Bacillus safensis
Lineage: Bacteria; Bacillati; Bacillota; Bacilli; Caryophanales; Bacillaceae
Description: bacterial SSU rRNA
Rfam family: Bacterial small subunit ribosomal RNA
Source: RNAcentral